GCCAUUCGUUGACAUAUAUUGCUGCUGUCCAGCUACCAUCAAGCCUUAAGAAGUUGAUGAUCUGGUGUUGCGAUAAUAUAAGGACUUUGACAGUGGAAGAGGGCAUCCAGAGUAGCAGAAGCAGCAGCAAUAGAAGGUACACCUCAUCUCUUCUUGAGAAGUUAGAAAUUAGGGAUUGUCCAUCACUGACAUGUAUAUUUUCAAAAAACGAGUUACCUGCCACGCUUGAGUCCCUUGAAGUUGGCAAUCUACCUCCGUCUCUUAAGUCCCUUCGUGUUUAUGGAUGUUCAAAGCUGGAGUCAAUAGCAGAAAGGUUGGACAACAACACAUCUCUUGAAACAAUUAGUGUAGAUGAUUGUGAAAAUCUAAAAAAUUUACCGAGUGGUUUACAUAAUCUCCGGCAGCUUCGAGGGAUUACUAUACGGAGUUGUGGAAACCUGGUGUCCUUUCCCGAAGGGGGAUUGCCUUGUGCGAAACUCAGGAGGCUGACGAUAUCUGAUUGUGAGAGACUAGAGGCCUUACCCAAGGGAUUGCACAAUCUGACCUCUCUUCAAAAAUUA
RNAcentral lists this long non-coding RNA (560 nucleotides) under Citrus sinensis (sweet orange). Its description in RNAcentral is "long non-coding RNA (CSIN_LNC001050)". The record is from RNAcentral. Lineage: Eukaryota; Viridiplantae; Streptophyta; Magnoliopsida; Sapindales; Rutaceae.